Molecule: transfer RNA, 74 nt
Filed under: Candidatus Naiadarchaeales archaeon SRR2090153.bin1042
Lineage: Archaea; Nanobdellati; Candidatus Undinarchaeota; Candidatus Undinarchaeia; Candidatus Naiadarchaeales
Also listed under: 1 other name
Description: tRNA-Ile
Rfam family: tRNA
About the family: Transfer RNA (tRNA) molecules are approximately 80 nucleotides in length. Their secondary structure includes four short double-helical elements and three loops (D, anti-codon, and T loops).
Source: RNAcentral
GGGCCUGUAGCUUAGCUUGGUGGAGCGUUCGGCUGAUAACCGGAAGGUCCUCGGUUCAAAUCCGAGCAGGCCCA